ACAGUAACGAACAAUCCCUCCAAUAAACUCUAAUAAAUUUUCGACAAACGACCCACGAAAUUCGACGUUGUUCGAGUGCCAGGUACUUGGAGUGCACGUGAGACGUGUAUCGAGUGACCAUGGCAGGAAAGGGGGGCCGGUUGCUGAAGAUACGCUCACCUUGGACACGUGCGGGAUCAUUAUAAUGGCAUAUUUGGGAUACCGCGACCUACUGAGAUCCAGUUCGUGUUUCGUCGAUGGGAACCGGAAAGAUGGUCAAGGACGGUUUAUGUAAAAACGAACAGCGAACUAGGAGCGAAGAGACCAAAGCAAAGAAAAGGAUAGUUGAACGAUGUCCGGCUAAAUCGGCACAUUGCCCGAGACCCGUCAAGCGAGAACAAUUUGAUUCGAAGCUCGAGAAGCUGCCGCGCCGUGCACGCGGAUGGAAGUUCCAGUCUGCUGCGUUCUCAUCUUACAACGUUAGACUGCGCCGCGGCUGCAAUUGCGAUCUAUGCACCGGAAGUUUCGCGUAAUGAGCGCUGGCUUUGAGGGAACGACGCGUACCAUUAAUACUACGUGAACCAAAAGCGUCGUCCAUCUUUUUAACUGUCUGGCAAGAUGUCUUUACAUAUGUGCGAACUUCGCACGUAUACCAGUACCGAAGUAGUUAGAAAAAAGAUAGGAUGCAGUGUUGAACGAGACCGCGCUCUUCUACAUAGAGAAACAUCGGAUCAAGGCAUCAGUAGUCGGUAGAGGAGGCAGCCAGCGCGAAUUCGACCCGGCUAGAAAGCAGCGUACCACCGCCGCGACGCUGGAACGUCGUGUACGGCACACGCGAUCGCAAGAAGAACGAGGAAAGCGAAGAAGGAAGAGCCGGGACGAGAAAAGCCUAGGCGCGUGACAGCUGGGAUGUCGGGGGACGAGCGGCGGCAGUGUGAGUCGACGAGAAAGCGGCAUAGGCGUUGACGAUGGUGCGACGAGGACGAAGCGACCAGAACGGAGCAACAGAGUGCGACGCGUCCGGCCUCCGCGAUACCAGGAGAACAUAAACGCGGACGAGUCGCAGACGAAGGGCGUUCUAUCGUUCCUGGAAAGAGGGAAAAAGACGAGAGGCGGCGGCGGAGCGCGAAAGAAAGAACCCCGACUACCAGCCAGAAAGAGAACGCACAGGCCUCGACGAGGAACGAGCCGGUGCAAGAGCAAGACGCGACAACUCUGCCAGUCGAUCCCGAAAGAGGAACCGAGAAGAACGCCACGACUAGAAGCAACAAGUUGCUGCUGGGGUCGCAAAAUGCCACCCCAGCCGGGGAUGUGCGACCCCGGAGAAAUUCCACGCUGAUAGCCGCGAUACACGCGUCACGACACGUCCAACGAAAUUAGCAAACACACCAGAGGACCCGGGGACGCCACUGCGAAUGAUCGAACGACGCGUGGUCGCUUCUGCGCGAUUACCGCGCCACGUGCUUGCACUACGUAUGGGCUUCGUUCCACGGAUAGUUGGACAUUUGUGUAUGGCAUUCGUUGGAAAAUGAAAUUGAGAGAAGUAUGGGGAGUACGAUGAGGGUGAAAGGAAACAUUUUUGGCAAGGGGGUGUGGGUAUCUGCGUAAAUGUAUUUUACGAAUACAGUCAAAGGACGA
RNAcentral lists this unclassified non-coding RNA (1617 nucleotides) under Bombus terrestris (buff-tailed bumblebee). Its description in RNAcentral is "misc RNA ENSBTSG00005033945.1". The record is from RNAcentral. Lineage: Eukaryota; Metazoa; Arthropoda; Insecta; Hymenoptera; Apidae.